AGUGAACGCUGGCGGUAGGCCUAACACAUGCGAGUCGAACGGCAGCACAGUAAGAGCUUGCUCUUACGGGUGGCGAGUGGCGGACGGGUGAGGAAUACAUCGGAAUCUACUUUUUCGUGGGGGAUAACGUAGGGAAACUUACGCUAAUACCGCAUACGACCUACGGGUGAAAGCAGGGGAUCUUCGGACCUUGCGCGAUUGAAUGAGCCGAUGUCGGAUUAGCUAGUUGGCGGGGUAAAGGCCCACCAAGGCGACGAUCCGUAGCUGGUCUGAGAGGAUGGUCGGCCACACUGGAGCUGAGACACGGUCCAGACUCCUACGGGAGGCAGCAGUGGGGAAUAUUGGACAAUGGGCGCAAGCCUGAUCCAGCCAUACCGCGUGGGUGAAGAAGGCCUUCGGGUCGUAAAGCCCUUUUGUUGGGAAAGAAAAGCAGCAGGUUAAUACCCCGCUGUUCUGACGGUACCCAAAGAAUAAGCACCGGCUAACUUCGUG
RNAcentral lists this ribosomal RNA (492 nucleotides) under uncultured bacterium. RNAcentral describes it as "partial 16S ribosomal RNA". It matches the Rfam family "Bacterial small subunit ribosomal RNA", at positions 29 to 507 of the family's 1533-position model. The record is from RNAcentral.